Molecule: long non-coding RNA, 1937 nt
Organism: Leptidea sinapis
Lineage: Eukaryota; Metazoa; Arthropoda; Insecta; Lepidoptera; Pieridae
Exons: 2
Source: RefSeq, a predicted model, not a curated record
CUUCCUUGUGCGGUGUUUCCGGGACGAUACGACAUGGGUACCUUCAAAAAAAGCGCGUACACCUUCCUUAAAGGCCGGCAACGCUCCUGUGAUUCCUCUGGUGUUGCAAGAGAGUAUGGGCGGCGGUGAUCACUUAACAACAGGUGACCCGUACGCUCGUUUGUCCUCCUAUUCCAUAAAAAAAAAAACGAAGUAGGUGUCAGUGCUACGCUAGCGCGCGGCUACUAGAUUUCUUAUAGGUUGUUCUGAAAUGAUAUUAUGGAAAAUUUAUUAAGAAGAAUUAUGUAUUCUAUUUUUGAAUUUUUUUUUAUGAUUACCUGCGAUGUGGAUUGCGAAGCGCUACAAAUCAAAAGUUAAAACUGUAACGCAAAACAAAAUGUGCGUACUUACAGUUAGAAGGUAGUCGAUAAUCGAAAAUCAAAUGCACAAUUAUCAAUUCAGUCGAUUGUUUUUCAUGCCACAAUCGCCCAUAGCGGCUAUGAAAUGUACCUACUUUUAAACUUACACGAAAAUCUUACAAUAUACUUGAGUAUAUAAUAUUUAAGCAUAAGGUAGUGAACGUGAAGGUAGUUUUGUAGAUACAGAACACUGCCUUUCUAAAUACAAAAAAAAAUAUAUAGUUUGUAUGUUCUUUUGUUAUGUCAUUUCUUAAAAAUGUUAAACCAUUAAAGAAUUUUCUAAUUCCAAAUUAUAUUGAAGAGUUUUGGUAAAUAUAGAUACAGUCUAUCCAAUCUAAUUUAUUUAUGUAAAAACCAGUUCAGAAAGAUUCCGUUAUUGACUAUAUUAGGUAUGUAUGUACAGUCAGCAUAAAAGUGCCGGCAUGUAAUUUAAUGUAUAAUAUUUGAUUUGAUUGAUACUUAAUAAGUUGCAGGAGUAAUAUUUAUUCAGAUGUCACAAAAUAUUAGCGUAAGUUUUGUUUUAACACUUAUACAAGUAUGUACUUACUUAGAUUAAGGAUUGGUCUCCGCUGCGCUCUAACUACUUACCGCACUACCUAAGAACAAUAGCUUUUUUAUUACGGCAACUAUUAGAUGCUUGUGUGCGUGGCAUCUUGACACUCAAUGGCAUCUUUCAAAUUUUGAACCAUACGCUUAGUGUUAUUUUACAUUGAAAUUAAUAUAAUACAAAAUACUUACUGAUAAUAUGUGAUCCGUGUCUUUCUUAUUUCUUGUAGUAUUCAUUUUACAAAGUUUAACAGAAAAUGUGGCACGUCAACAUCACACAUUGUUCGAGACUGGCUCGAGUACGCCCACUUGGAUGUAGUAUUCGUUGCCGCACUUUGCGACUACGGCUGCGGUUUCUAGUUGGAGCACAGCGGAGACCAAUCCUUAAUCUAAGAUCUAAUAAUACUAUAUACUCAUAUUAAAUAGUGUGAAAGAUGCCUUUUUAAAGUUGAUCAAGUGCAUAUAUUUUAAUAAAAAAUGUUUAAUUGUUUACCAAAUGAUACAUUAGCAAAGGUUCAAUUAAUUGCUGUAGUUGGUUUGCUAGUUGUUAUACCAACAUAAAAGACUGUAAUUUGUAAAACUACCCACAGCCCCAGCUAUGACCUCUAUAACUGACAGUUUGGAAUAAUAAAUCAGUGGUAAUUUUUUUUUACAAACUAAAAUAUCUCCAUACUCCGUAUACCGUCUCUGCAUGUGUGUUCUACGAAUGUCUGGUGCACAAAGUCAAAUUAUUACAAAUUCUUAAAAUCUUAUGCAAAUAUAUCUCAAUACAGUUAUUGGAUAACCAAUUAACAUUAAUCAUGUAACUUAACGUUAAAUUAAUAUUAACAGUGACCAAAUAGUUAAUUAAAAAUUAAUAAAACUGAAAUGUUUCUUUUUGAAACUCCGUACUUCAUAUUUUUAUAAUGGCAAGCUUCUUGUACAAGCACUUGUACUUAUAUGUAACUGUUGAUAAAUAUUAUUUUUGGAUCAAAAUAUAAGCUUGUGAAGUUA